RNAcentral lists this small nuclear RNA (19 nucleotides) under Arabidopsis thaliana (thale cress). RNAcentral describes it as "snRNA_13597". Lineage: Eukaryota; Viridiplantae; Streptophyta; Magnoliopsida; Brassicales; Brassicaceae. The record is from RNAcentral.
AAUGAUGCACUCAAUCUGU